GACGCUGGUUUCUCUUCCUCCCUCCCCUUCUCCUCCCCCACCCUACCUCCUAUAUAUAUUUGAGUAAUGAUUGCAGGGUGAUGUUGAGGGAGACAAGACGGGCGCUUAUAUGGAGCAGAGCUGUCUUCCCGUAGGGAAUCUAUAUGGAUAUGAGCACGCUCCAGCUACUGGGUUAAGUCUAUCCUUGAUUUAUCUUACUUAAGCAUCUGAACUAGCUACCUCCCUAGAAAGAUUGGACUUUGGUUAAUAUUAGCGUACAAGAUUGGAACACGGAUGAUCAGAACAUGUAGUUCUUUAGGAUAUUGCUGGUCCUGGUAUUGGUUAAAGCUUGAUAUAUACUCUUAGGAGAAAACAAGAUGUGCCAAUUAGUUGCAGGUUGUAAUUGUUUGUCUGGGCGGAGAAAUACCCUGGGUUCGAAUAUUUCUAGAGAAUUGAGCUGAAAAUUUUUAUAGAAUUCAUAAAUUAGGCUAUUCAUUUAAGUAUGGUCUUGUAUCAACCAAAUACCACCCAGCCCAAAUUCUGUGGGAAGAAAAGAAGAGCUCCAUUGUUUUGUUUUUUUUUUGGUACAGCCCAAAAGUUAGAAUUUGGUCUGAAUUUGGACUGGUUCUUACAAAAAUAAAAGCUAGAUGGGCCAAUAGGCCCGAUUACUAUAGAUUUUCAGUCCACUCCUGUAGAAGUAUUCAUUAAGGAUGUUAAAGAAGGUGCAGUCUACCCAAAAUACAGUAGCAUGUCAUGAAGUAUGAGGUGAGCCUAGGAUUAAGAUAAAACUUAUGUAUCUAUUGUACUUAAGAUCAAAGCAAGCUGAAAACUUCAACCUGUUCCCUUGCUUAGCUGAAUCAAAAAUCAUAUCUGGAAACCUUUUUCACAAGUUGAUAGAGAAUUGCUCCCUAGAAACUUUUGGAUAGCCUUUUCUUGAUGCUUUUGACCUUACUUUUUAGCAUCAACAGGUACUAAUAUACCCCUUAAUAUGUAUAGGAAAAGUAAAGGAUUUUCUUACAUUUGGAAUGUGGAAGAAUUUUUAAAUCAUUCAUCUGUUUGAUGUCAAGGAAAUUAGCUUCCUUAGAUCAUUAUGUACUAUCUUCAAUCUCCUUGUCAUUUCAACGAUUCUACACUCUAGCUUGAAAAUGACUUUCUUUUGAGCUGCAACACCGUGUUAACAUUACACUAGAGAUCAAAGUUCAUGUUUCAUAACCCUUAGUUUGAGAUUUGAAAUUUUACUUAUCACCCAAAAAUUUACUACUAAUGAACACAAUCAAAUAAAAAAAUGACUUUUUUGGUGAGAAAGAAAGAAAAUGUUUUCAGACUUAAAAGUGUACUUAGAUUCUUGUGAAAGAGGUUUUUGCCAUCUCCCUGUUGCUUCCUUGUGACAAAAAAUGUUGUACCUUAACAGCAUUGCAGGAUUGCACUUUUAUAAGUUCACCAUUACCCACUCAUCCAUCCAUCCAUCAAUCCAUUCAUAUGUACAUGCAUACCUUCAUACACAAAUAGAAACAUAAAUACAUAGAUGCAGAC
This 1512-nucleotide long non-coding RNA is filed under the name Phoenix dactylifera (date palm). RNAcentral's name for it is "long non-coding RNA (PDAC_LNC007035)". Lineage: Eukaryota; Viridiplantae; Streptophyta; Magnoliopsida; Arecales; Arecaceae. The record is from RNAcentral.